This 393-nucleotide ribosomal RNA is filed under the name uncultured bacterium. RNAcentral describes it as "partial 16S ribosomal RNA". It matches the Rfam family "Bacterial small subunit ribosomal RNA", at positions 523 to 918 of the family's 1533-position model. The record is from RNAcentral.
AUACGGAGGAUGCGAGCGUUAUCCGGAUUUAUUGGGUUUAAAGGGUGCGUAGGCGGAAGGCUAAGUCAGCGGUGAAACGCAGGUGCUCAACACCUGACCUGCCGUUGAGACUGGUUUUCUGGAAUGCGGAUGCUGUGGGAGGAAUGUGUGGUGUAGCGGUGAAAUGCAUAGAUAUCACACAGAACACCGAUUGCGAAGGCAUCUCACAAAUCCGCGAUUGACGCUGAGGCACGAAGGUGCGGGGAUCGAACAGGAUUAGAUACCCUGGUAGUCCGCACAGUAAACGAUGAUGACUCGCUGCCGGCGAUAGACAGUCGGUGGCCAAGCGAAAGCGAUAAGUCAUCCACCUGGGGAGUACGACCGCAAGGUUGAAACUCAAAUGAAUUGACGGGG